UACGGAGGGGGCUAGUGUUGUUCGGAAUUACUGGGCGUAAAGGGCGCGCAGGCGGCUUGGCAAGUCGAGUGUGAAAUCCCUUGGCUUAACUAAGGAAUGGCGCUCGAAACUACCUCGCUAGAGGACGGGAGAGGGAAGUGGAACUCUCGGUGUAGGGGUGAAAUGCGUAGAUAUCGGAAGGAACAUCAGUGGCGAAAGCGGCUUCCUGGUCCAGCACCGACGUUCAGGCACGAAAGCGUGGGGAGCAAACAGG
This 253-nucleotide ribosomal RNA is filed under the name uncultured bacterium. Its description in RNAcentral is "partial 16S ribosomal RNA". It matches the Rfam family "Bacterial small subunit ribosomal RNA", at positions 524 to 776 of the family's 1533-position model. The record is from RNAcentral.